GAUGAACGCUGGCGGCGUGCUUAACACAUGCAAGUCGAACGGGAAACCUUUUAAAGAAGCUUCGGCAGAUUUAGCUGGUUUCUAGUGGCGGACGGGUGAGUAACGCGUGGGUAACCUGCCUUGUACAGGGGGAUAACAGUCAGAAAUGACUGCUAAUACCGCAUAAGCGCACAGGACCGCAUGGUCCAGUGUGAAAAACUCCGGUGGUAUAAGAUGGACCCGCGUUGGAUUAGCUGGUUGGUGGGGUAACGGCCUACCAAGGCGACGAUCCAUAGCCGGCCUGAGAGGGUGAACGGCCACAUUGGGACUGAGACACGGCCCAGACUCCUACGGGAGGCAGCAGUGGGGAAUAUUGCACAAUGGGGGAAACCCUGAUGCAGCGACACCGCGUGAAGGAAGAAGUAUCUCGGUAUGUAAACUUCUAUCAGCAGGGAAGAAAAUGACGGUAC
This 449-nucleotide ribosomal RNA is filed under the name uncultured bacterium. Its description in RNAcentral is "bacterial SSU rRNA". It matches the Rfam family "Bacterial small subunit ribosomal RNA", at positions 28 to 478 of the family's 1533-position model. The record is from RNAcentral.